This 1638-nucleotide ribosomal RNA is filed under the name Triticum aestivum (bread wheat). RNAcentral describes it as "partial small subunit ribosomal RNA". Lineage: Eukaryota; Viridiplantae; Streptophyta; Magnoliopsida; Poales; Poaceae. The record is from RNAcentral.
AUGUCCCUUCUCGGCACCAACUUCUCCGGGACGGUGAUAUGCUCAUAUCGCAGUUGCCGACGUCUUUUGGUCUACAUUGGUGACCUCCCGAGUUUCAAUAAGGUUGCUCCAGUUGAAGCUUGUCGACCAAACAUGCACCCGCCGGUGAUGGCUACAGGAAUUUGGGCCGAUCCAAGUAUCAUGGCGCUUGCUACAAAACCCAUAGUCACUCUGCACCAACAUCCUCAAAGCUAUCUAUUAUCCCAACGGGACUAUUUAUCGGCUGAGUGGGGAUCAAAACCCCCGCAGGUGUGGCGUGCUAUAUUGGAGGGUAGAGAUGUGCUCAACCAAGGUCUUAUAAGGAGAAUAGGGAAUGGAAAUACAACGCUCAUAUGGGAACACAACUGGUUACCAAAUGAGGUGAUGAUGAGGCCGAUUGCAUGCCUAACAGCUGACCCGCCAGUUUUGGUAAGUGAAUUGAUAGAUCAUACCAGUGCCGCUUGGAGGGAGAACCUGUUACAACAAGCUUUUUUGGCGCCGGACAUUAACACAAUUCGGAGCAUCCCCUUGUGUACUAGGAAUAUGGAUGAUACCUGGGCAUGGAAUUAUGAGAAGCAUGGUAGAUUCACUGUCAGGCCGGCUUACCGCAUGUUGGCAGAUACUAAGAGGAGGAGGGAGGACUGGCUAGAAAAUAAUGCAGGAAGAUCAAACUAUGUUGAGGAGGCGAGGGUGUGGACUUCGCUCUGGUCGGUUCAAGUCCCUGCUCGUCGGAAGGCAAUCCAUGAAGGUAUAUUACAGAGUCCGCAUGCUAUCCAUUCAUUUGUGCUGAAUCUUAUUGCGGAGCUGGAGGCGCUGAGAAGGCCGGAUACAGACAAGGCUGCACCGAGUAGGGCAGGUGCGAGCUCACGACCACCUUGGAAGGCGCCGCCGGAUGGGGUUGUCAAGAUUCAUGUAGAUGGGGGCUUCUCCAGGACGGGUGAAAAAGGUGCUGCAGCAGCUGUGUGCAGAGAUUGCAGUGGAACUUUUCUGGGCUCCUCGGCACUUGUUGUCUACGGAAUCACUGAUCCGGCUAUCUUGGAAGCUUUGGCAUGCCCGGAGGGACUUUCACUUGCUCUUGAUCUCGGGGUAGACAAAAUGGUGAUUGCAUGCGAUUCUAAGACAGUGGUCUCGGACAUCAGGAUGGGAACCGAAGGGAGGCACUCGGUUAUUGUGAAGGAGAUUGUAACACGGGCAAAUGAGCUUGCUGCAUGCGAUAUCACUUUUGAAGGACGAGCAUUGAAUUGGGAAGACCAUAGUCUAGCUAAAUUUUCUACUAGUUCUUUAGAUUCUGGCCGCCAUGCCGCGCUCCGCGAUUGGUGGCUAGGUCUUCCUGCUGUCGCCGCCAAUCCUAUUCCUACGCACCCUUCCUUCAAAGCAGCCAGUUUUCCCACAGAAGCUCUCCCCGCCGCCCUGCCCGAAAAUUUCGCGCGGAUGGCGCCAGAUUCCGAGCCGCGUCCACGCGCCCUCCAAACAUUUCCUCCUUCCCGCUGGCGCCACUUCCUCCCCGCCAUUUCCAGAGCUGCCCCGGGUAUUUCACCGCCUCCAGAGCUAGCGUCCUCGCGCCAUCACAGCACAACCCUUCUUCGUCUGGAGAGUGCUAGCCCAGGAGCGCGGUCGUGA